This 1197-nucleotide long non-coding RNA is filed under the name Manacus vitellinus (golden-collared manakin). RNAcentral describes it as "lncRNA (ENSMVIG00005002567.1)". Lineage: Eukaryota; Metazoa; Chordata; Aves; Passeriformes; Pipridae. The record is from RNAcentral.
CUGGGGGGAAGAUCAGAGUGCAAAAUCAACUCCUCAUUGGUCUUGCUGCAAAAAAUGGAGCUAGUGACUCACAGGAUUUUGAUCACCUCAGUAAAAGGAGGAUUUCUUCAAUACCUGACUCCACAAGGUCGAACAUUGCCCUCACUCAUUAUUCCCUUGUCUGUAUAACCAGGAGCCAUGUCCACCACAGUCAUCAUGUUAAACUGUACUGGUAGCUCAAGUUCAGCCAGUUACUUUACAUUAUUUCUAUCUUGUAGUGUGCCAAUAAUUUCCAAAGUAUAGGAAUCCAGUCUUAUGAGUCUACAUUUUUUGUUGAUGCCAGAUGCACGACUGUACAUGUGUCUGCCAUAAAAUGUAGGCUGUUUGAAUGAGAUCAGUUCCACAAGUAACCUAUAUCACUUCCUAAAACUAACUUCUUAUCACUUGCUAAAACUAAAACUAACUUGUCCUCAUCAUAACUUACUACUUCACUAAUUCUUUUAUGACCUGAAAGCUUUGACAGCAAAAAUGUAAUGUUUUGCCAGUUUAUCAACAAAAAUACCAAAUAGCUGUUGGUAAAAAAGAUACUCUCUCAGAACAUGGUUUCCUGAGAAAUUUGUGGUGAAUACUUAACAAGAAGUAUUAUUUUAUCAAUUUCAGCCACAAAACUUAGUUUAGAAUGAAGACCUGAGCUGUUUGAACUGCAGUAAUUAUUUUCAAAUAUACCAAAGUCAUACAGCAGUUGUGUUAUCUACCUGAAAACAAACAAACAAGUGAGCUUUCAAUAGCUAGAUAAAAAAUAGAAAUUCCUGCAUGAUACAGUUUUCAACCAUUCUUCUUGUCACUUUUUCCUCUUUCAAUAAGCCCUAAGUCUCAACUCUCUGUAAGUUAGGAUUAGUCUCCUGUAUAUUCCAUGUCUAAAAAGAGGACACAGGUUCCUAAGACACAAAGGUGACAAUGAGUAUUUGCCUAAAAAAAUGAAAUUUGGCACAGGGAACAGCCUUAGUCUCACAUGCGCCUCAGUGUUGGAAUGAAAUUGGUGUUGAUGUGUGAACCAGGGUAAGGGUUUACAUGAAUUCACAGUGAAUUUUGUAAUUGAUGUCAUAACUGUCUGCUUUAUAUUCUUUGUGGUUCUGUGCAUGUGUCUGUAGCUCACAGGGAAUUCCAAAAUGAAUGACACUCCACAGGGAAUAAAACAGAGCCUGAAGGUGUCCUGCC